Molecule: long non-coding RNA, 972 nt
Organism: Dreissena polymorpha
Lineage: Eukaryota; Metazoa; Mollusca; Bivalvia; Myida; Dreissenidae
Exons: 2
Source: RefSeq, a predicted model, not a curated record
UUGGCGCACAGGGAAUGCGUGGGAAAAAAUAGCGUGUAUCGGUUAUGCGGCGAUACUACGACAGCAACAGUCCUGAUCCGGCGACCAGUACUUAAGGUCUAAGCAUUGCCGUGUAAGGAUUAUUGUUGAAUUACGACGGAGCUUAACUGGACACAACACAAUGGACUACAUGCAGAUACAAAGGGGCUUCAUGGUGCUGGUGGCCUGCAGUAUGAUAACCUGCUAUGCAUAUCCUCUGGAAGUCGACGACGACGACGACCCUUGUGCAAUCUGUUUUAUAGAUUUCAAUGACAAAGCAUGCGACCUGUGCAAGAUCGAACACCUGACGCCCGAAAAACGCAGCGGAUCCGUGUUCCAUCCAUUUUUUAGAGGAGCUGUCUACAACAAAAAGAGCAGCUAUCAUUUUAAUCCUCUGAUCCGAGGGACCUACCCCAAGAAGUCUCCGUAUGUUCCAGUUUACCACCCAUUUCUGAGGGGAGGGUAUGGCGGAGCCCGUUUAUACGUGCCUGAGACGGAGAAAUAACAAACGUUAUUCAUUUGUCCCGGUUACAUACGAUUGUACGUGUACACAUAUAAUGGUUUGUGUAUGUGACGUAUCUCAUUUUUCAUAGGAGUUGAUACAUUCCAGUAAUCUGCUAUGGAUAUUUAUGCAUUCGAAGCGGGCAGGGUUGAUUUUGGAACAAAAGAGACACCUUCAACCAUCGUCAUACUCAGUUUGUAUUAUACUUACGACUAGAUCCGUUUAUAAUCCUUAAAGAAAAUGGUUUACAUUUAGUACAUACUAGCAUAUACACACGCUUAGAUAUACACUUGACAUUAUGUUGGAACCGACUGAGGACAUAUUACUGUCUUAAAAUGCGCCUAUGUCUUUGUUAUUUGUUGUUCAUUUUUUGCUGUUGGUCGUUGUGCAAUUGCGUUCAUUUAUAACACACUAUGUUAUCACAUUUAAUUUAAAAUAAAGAUACUUUCUAA